GGAUUGUGGCUCAGCGUAGAGCGCUCGCCUAGCAUGAGCGGGACCCGGGUUCGAUUCUCAGCACCA
RNAcentral lists this transfer RNA (66 nucleotides) under Marmota monax (woodchuck). RNAcentral describes it as "tRNA.Ala". Lineage: Eukaryota; Metazoa; Chordata; Mammalia; Rodentia; Sciuridae. The record is from RNAcentral.